GCUUCCCUUAAAUUUAAUCCAUGCUAAUCUAUUCUGUCAGUUUCUUGUCAUGAUGAGCUCUGUUUUCUGUGCGUAGGCUUUUGCGCAAUAAACCCAUCGUACACCAAUUGGAAUAAUUAUGGCAAUGUGCGUUAUAAACACAUGCCGGUUUAUUAAUUUUUUGUAAUGAAUAACAUAAUUAUUAAUAUAACAAAUUAUUAAGGAAACUAAUGUUCGUAAAAGUAAUUAUUAAGAAAAUUGUUCUCACAGAAAAGGUGGGGGUAAUUCAAACGCCCACCACUAAAAACUAGUAUACAUAUCAAAAGAAUUGCGCCAGAAAACGGGGAGGAGGGUGGGUAAACUUGAUUUCAGAUGGAGAUGUUUUGCAGCCAACGUGCAGAGCAGAAUGAACCGAUCCCGCAUUCUAGUUCAACUAAAUACCGCGAACUCCUAUCCGUUUUCCCGCGCAUUACAAUCAUGUGAUUACAAAAUUCCCGGGAAACCCCAGUAGGUUUCUAUCUAUUUAUAUAGUUCAAGUGCAGGAAGCAAUAAAAUCUUUGUUGGUAUGCCAAUAAUUCCUUUUUUCUAGUUAAAUGGUGGUUAACCUUAACCGCGUAGUUAACGCAUGGUGCUUUUAGAAGUG
This is a non-coding RNA of Paramuricea clavata, 622 nucleotides long. The record is from the annotation of a GenBank genome assembly. Lineage: Eukaryota; Metazoa; Cnidaria; Anthozoa; Malacalcyonacea; Plexauridae.